Cucurbita maxima (winter squash) is the source of this 1461-nucleotide long non-coding RNA. RefSeq lists it as uncharacterized. The record is from RefSeq and is a predicted model, not a curated record. Lineage: Eukaryota; Viridiplantae; Streptophyta; Magnoliopsida; Cucurbitales; Cucurbitaceae. The transcript has 6 exons.
CGUUUUCCGAUAGUACUCCACCAGCGUUUGUCUCUCUCUCGGCCCUCUUUCUCUCUAUCCUAACCCUAAUCGAACCUGCUACUUCAUGUGCGACGAUUCCAAUCUCUUUUGUUUUGAUAUUAUCAUUCAGGUUGAGUUGAUGGCUUCGGAGGUGCUAACAAAUGAAGCUUACCAUGAAAAUGACAUGGAAGGAAUGAACUUGAUGCAAGUUGUAGGCGCAUAUUUUUUCGUUACCAGGAAGUUUUGGCGAAGGAUCCUUUCCAAGGCACUAUUUGAAAGAUUUGAUGUCCUUUGACUAUUUGUCCUGCUCAAAAUGCUUUUUUUAGAGGAAGAAAAAUCUUCGAUCCUAUUUGCAAUAGAGGAAGGAAAAAAAAAAAAGGAUAAGGACUUUCAAUUUAGGACUUAUUUUUUAUACUUAGAGCUUUUGAAGCUGCAGCUGGUUUGAAAAUUAAUUGGAAAAGAUCAUCAGAUUGUGGAAUCAAUAUUGAGGCCAAAAGAGUGGAGUUAACUGCUAUUCAGUUGGGAUGGUACAAAGCUGAAAAUUGCCUAUUUCUAUUCUUGGUUUUAUCUAUCCUUCCUUUAUAAGCCAUUAGAUCAUGGACGUUUGGGUCUCGGAAACCUUUUCAAUCACCUUUAUUUCUUUAGGCCCAUUUCAAAGAGGUGAUGGAGGUAUUCAAAUGAGCUGCUUGAAUUGUGGACCAAAGUGGUUAUAUAUGAAACUGAUGAGUUUGAUGGUUCGCUAUACAGAAAAUUGGAAGGUGCCGGAGAGGUCCUUGGUGGAAUAUAUCCGAAGUAACAUUUUGGUAGAUCCUACUAGCAUUUUGGUUGGAGAUGGAAGAAGAACAAAAUUUUGGCAAGACUCUCGGCUGGGCGAUAUCCCUCUAGCAUUGCAACCUCCAACUUUUAUGCGGUAUUCCGAGAACAAAGCUGCUCUGCAACGGGGUUUUCUUAAACCUCAACGAAUAGAUCACAGAAUAUUUUGGCAAAAGGGGGAACCUUCAUGAAGAAGAAAAGGAGAAGCUUAGAUUAGAAGACUCUUGGAGGUGAUUAAUGAAGCUUCCCCCAUUUUUUUGCCUCACAAAGAAUGCAAAUUUGGACUCUGGUAAGCAAGUAAUACAUCUUUCCACCAAUAAGAUUGGGAGAAAAGAAAAAGUGUGCAGUCCCUUCAUUCUGCCUUCCUUGUUCCUCUAGACCUUCUCUAGAGAGUGCUUCCUCAGCUUGAACCUGCUGCAAUGCACCUUCUCCUCGUUUUGAAGCGGCCAAUGUCAUCAGUUUCUGGUGGCUCAAUGGCAGUGAGAUUGAUGUAAGAAAGCUGAACGUUCUCACAAGGCAUGGCUGAGCUGCAUUGCAGAUUUACUGCAAAUUCAGAGUUAAAUGAUGGUAGAUACGAUACCUGAUUCCAUGACCAGGACCACAUAUAACGUUAGAAACCGACACGUUGAUGCUACCAGGUCCGAUGGA